Molecule: non-coding RNA, 4981 nt
Organism: Nelumbo nucifera (sacred lotus)
Lineage: Eukaryota; Viridiplantae; Streptophyta; Magnoliopsida; Proteales; Nelumbonaceae
Source: RefSeq, a predicted model, not a curated record
UUGCGACCCCUAGAUUUAGCACAAUGUAUUCAAUCUACUUGUCCGCUCUUCCAAAGCUGACCUGUUUCAUGUCUCGAGUAGCCCCAUGUCAAUCACCUCAAGUCCUCUACAUUUGGAUUUACAGUUUUAUCAUAGCAAGUUCAAAAAGUGAAUGAAUUAAAAUAGUUCAAAAAAACAAAUAUUGGCAAGGAGAAACUUGAGCUUUCAAAUAAUUCAAAAGACAAAUAUUCAGGCGAUUGUUUCAAAGGAAGUUGUUGCUUAAGGUUACUGAAAAACUUGAGCUUUUUUUGUUUAUAUUUUGGUUCUGGUUUCCUAGAGUCGAAGUGGUUUUACUGCCAUUGAGAGGGGGAAAUCUGGCGGGUGAGGGUUUCUGGUCCAAGAUUUGGUCUUUGGAAAACCAUGAUGCUGGAAAAGGUAUGAUUAUGAAUAAUGUAUGAUAUAGAAAGAGCUUUCACCAAUCAAACCAGAAACCACCUUUCGCGGCGGCAAAAGCCCAACCUAUCCAAACCCAGUCCAUUUGGGUUAGGGUCGAAUUUGGGUCAAGAGGGUUAGGAUUGGUUGGGUUGAGGUUAUCCACAGGGUGGUGGUUUCAUUCUGCAACUCUGCUGUCUGCUCACCACCUCCGCCUCUUACUUGUUUGCUUCGAAUACAUGGAAGCGUUUAUCGUAGACUCAGGUAUAUCUCCCUCUGCUCCUCCCUCCUUCUUCUUCUUCUUCUUCUUCUUCUUCAUGUUGCCUUUCUUUUUCCAUGACUAGAGCAAGAAUUGAUGGCUACUAUUUUCAUUGUGUUCUUAGCCACCAUUCCAUCCCCCAACCCCCCUUCAAUCAAUAGUUAUAGUGGCUCUGGUGUACCAGGGAAUUUUCUUUGUUUGUGAGAGUACAACAGUCUAGAGUACAUCAGUCUAGGGCGUCUAAAUGUUCCUCUUCUUCCUCUCUCGCUCUCUCUUAUUAAUGAUCUGGGAUUCAUGUAUGCUUCCUAUUUUCUAUUUUCAGUUCUUGCAUUCUGUUUACAGAUUCAAAGUUGUGCAAUAAUGGACUGUUAUAAUGGUGAACAUAAGACUAAUUUACCUUUAAUAAGCAACAGAAUAACUGAUCAAUUUCUUUUUUCUUUUCAUUUUCUUUUUUAUCAUUGAUAGAUCAACGAAGGGACAUACUAGUGACUUCCCAGUUCAAGGGUGUGAAACAAUAAGGUCCCUUGCUAUCUUUUUUGGGAUGGUCUGUGGCUCUAAAUAAAAUUUUAACAAGAGAGAAUUUAAUCAGAAGAGGCAUGGAGAUGGAUAAUAUGGAUUGUGAUGUUCUGUGUAGCAGGUGCAUGGAAACAUCAGAUCACUUGCUACUUCAUUGCAGUUUUACCUGAAGGAUAUGGGUUGGUAUGUUGAAUCUGUUUGGGGUGGAGUGGUGCUUUUCGGGUGAUUGGAAGAGCUUCCUUGGUGCAUGGUGUUUAAAAAGUUUGAGCAAAGAGGGUAAGGUGGUUCGGGGAAUUAUACUGCCAGCAGUUGUUUUUGAGCUAUGUGGGGUGAAAGAAAUGGCGGAUUUUUUGAGGGUAAACAGGGCUCAAUAGAGGAUGUAACCAAGAAAGUGUUGGGUAUUCUGUUUAAUGAGAAAAAUUACAACUUUUUUUUAGCUAAAGGAAAUCUUUUUGUUAUGGGUCAGUCUUGAAUAGGGCUCAGGAUAUUUAUUUUGAUUGUAUAUCCUGUGUACAGAACCUCUUUGUACAGGGGGUGGCUUUUUGUAUUACAUCUUUUUGGAAAUGGAGUAGUUGCUUUAUAUUUUUCGAAUUUUGUUUGAUGAGAUAUAGAUGGAAUAUAAUAGUACUAUAAGCUCCUCUUCAGGAGUAAAGAUUGAUCCAAUGGGCCCAUCUACUCCCAGUUUUAUACAACUAUGCAAGAAAGGUGUUGAUCCUUUGGGCUAAGGGUUGGGCCUCCCUAACUGCAUGCUGAUGUAACUAUGGAACUUCUUCACCAUUUUGCUCCAUCCAACCACCACUUGGGUAUCUCCCUCAAUUUCCAAAUGAAAAGUAGAUCAGAGAAAGACUGAGUUGAAGUACCUGAAGAAGUGAGGACAUCUCUGUUAUAAUGUCAUCAUCAUCUCUUAUGCGGUUUCUAAAUAUUUCAUUAAAGAAGUGAUAGCAACUUCAUGCACAAAUGCUCGAUAACGGACAGCUUGCUUGGAUUUCCUUUUGAUGCUCAGAAUGCAUGGAAUUACACCUCCAUCACCAUUAUCAAGUUUUGGAUAUAGUUGGGUUAAGCCUGUAGCUCAAUUUAUUGAUGCUUUGAACUGCAACCAUAUGGUCAUUUGUUCGGUCCCAGCUAAUCAUAGGGAAGUCUAUGGACACAUAACCUACGACUUCUAUGUAGUUGAACUUGUGGUUCUUUUUGGGAUGAGUACUCUAAACUUGAGAAUAUGGUAAUUACAAGCUUGAGUAUAAUGUUUCAUAAAAUCGAUGCAAAAUCAAUAUCUGAUCAUUGGAGUCCAUACGAUAUGGGUGUACUGUCUGAUAACUAUAUAAAGGACAGAGAUGGUUGCAUUUACCAUCGAGAUUGUGUUUCUUGCAAUAUAAUGAUCAGGGGUUGCAUCAAGAACCAUAGGACCAGAGAUGCAAGGGAGAUAUUUGACAGAAUGUAUCACAGGAACACUGUUUCUUGGAAUUCCAUGAUAAUGGCAUACACCCACGAAGAAAGAUGCAUAUUGCAUUGAAACUCUUCCUAAUCAUGCCUGACAAAGAUGUCAUUAGCUGGACCACUAUAAUUUCUGGGCUUUGCCAUGAUUCACGAACUGAAGAUGCAUGGCAAUUAUUCAAGCAAAUGCCAGAGCCCAACUCCAUUUCUUGGCCUUCGGUUAUAUCAAGUUUCUAGCAAACUGGAUUGGUUGCUGAUACUUUGAUUCUCUUCAAGGAAAUGCUAUCUGCAGGAAUUCAGCCAACUCCCCAUUCCUUUACUAGUGCUUUGACUGCUUCAGCAGAUUUAGCUGCACUAUCCAUUGGUCAACAACUUUACUCUCAACUGAUUAAGAGAGGAUUUGAGAUCAACACCCAUGUUGGAAAUUCAGCCAUUUGUAUGUUUAUAAGAUCUAGUAGUUUCUAUGAUUCUAGGCGCAUUUUUGUGGUUAUUCCCAGACCUGACCUCAUUACCUGGAAUUCUAUCCUUACAGGUUAUGCACAACAUGGAUAUGGAGAUUGAUCAUGGGGUCCCUCCUCUUCCUGUGCAUUAUGCAUGCAUGGUUGAUGCCCUUGCACGUGCUGGGCUUAUAAGAGAAGCACUUGAUAUGAUUUUGAAAAUGCUCUUUGAACCUGUAGCUAUCUUUUGGAAAACAUUGCUGAAUGGUUGUAGGCAAGGGUCAAAGUAUCGAUACAUAUCGGCCCGUAUUGGCCGAUACGUAUCGUGCCGGUGGCUUCCUGAUACACCCAUACAGGGGGUGUAUUGGGGUUCUGACUAGUUCAGGGUGUGGAGGAGCCUUAAACCGCCCCCCUGAACCGGUUUUGAAAAAGAAAAUAAAAUAAGGGUUGAAAACACUAUCGGUAUCACCUGAUACACCCCUACUGGCGUAUUGGGUGUAUUGAUAUUUUGAACCUUGGUUGUAGGAUUUGGGGAGAUUUGAAAUUAGGUGUAUUUGCAGCUGAAAAGAUUUUAAAACUUGAACCAUGUAAUUCAAGCGCAUGCUUAAUGGUGAUUGAGAUGUAUGCAUCUAUUGGGAGAUGGGUGGAGAUUUCAGAGAUUAUAAGAUGUAUGAGGGGAAGAGAGGCAAGAAAGGAGUUAGGUUAGAAUUGGGUUGAAAUAAAGGGGAAGGAACACUUGUUCACUACAAAGGAUGAAACUCAUGUUGCAUCAGAUAGUAUUUACAUGAUCCUUGAGUUGUUAUCCUACGAUGUUUGUAAAGUAUCUUGAGAUUGAUAGCAUGAAGCAAUGUUAAACCAGUGAAAAAGAACAUGGGGCUCUCAUUUGGUUGGCAAAUGUGCCUGUGAAUGCCAAAACCAUUGGUUGUUGCAGGUCGGAACUUUAGAAGUUGUUUUUGUGCUGAUAGUAGGGUUUGUUAGCAAAUCCAAACCUGGAAGGCAAUAGAAGUGCACUAUCUCAGUAUCUUGUACCAAAGCCAGUGAGACUAGAUGGAAAAUGUAUCAUGGCAAACAAGCAAUUCCAAGCAGUUAGUGCUGUCAUGGAUUUGGAUUCGUUUUGUUUGUUAACCAGACCCAUCUUAGAAUCAUCAAUUAUCUUUAUUCUCUUUAUACAUUACAGAAAUUACAGAAACAAGUUGUACAAGCCUAAUUGGGUUUAUUUAAGUGAUGAUUGAAUCGGACUGCAAACAAGCGAUAGAUUCCAUAAUUAAGCCGCCUUCUUGGGUUUUUUCUCUCCUGGCUGCUGUCUGGAACGAUAUUUUGUCUUUCUCUGCAAACUUUAGUGUUCGUUUUGUUCACGUUCAAAGGGAGUGCAAUAUUCUGGCCCAUGAGUUGGCAGGUUCCCUGGCCCGGGGUGUGGGUCUUCCUGUUUCUCUUUCUUAAUGAGAUAAUUCUUAUUUACCAAAGAAAAAAAAAAUAAUUGAUGGUUUUUAAAUUGUUGAAGUUCGUUUGCUUAAUACUUAACCAGAAAUAAAGGAUUAACAUGUUAGUAAUGUGGUUUUUUCUCUUUGCUCUUUUUAGACAACCUAUGUUUAAAGUUAUGAAGAUGUUGAUCAAAUAUCAUUUGGACAUUCGAUAUGUUACUGAGAGGAGAUGUAAACGCAUGCCUUACUAUUCGCCCUUUCCCCCCCGUAUUUGAAUGAACCAGAAUUUCCCAUUCAACUUGGCGCUUCUAAGCGACCCUGUAUGGAUGGGCACUUAUGUUGUAUGCAUCCCACUUCUUUACUUAUGGGGCUUAUUUAAAUUCUGGGCCAAGCCCAUAGUGAAAAAUACCGAGAGUUAGAAAAAAAAUUGCAGGCUAGUAAGGUUGGUUUAUCUCUUUGUUUACUUUUCUGUCAUUCAAACCACGGUCCAUGGAUCAUGGAUGUGC